Ornithorhynchus anatinus (platypus) is the source of this 738-nucleotide long non-coding RNA. RefSeq lists it as uncharacterized. The record is from RefSeq and is a predicted model, not a curated record. The transcript has 2 exons. NCBI's taxonomy places the organism in Eukaryota, Metazoa, Chordata, Mammalia, Monotremata, Ornithorhynchidae.
UCGGGGCUGGAAAGAUCAAAAUAAUUCAUCUGGGGUUUUUUGAUCAUUUAGGGGGUCGUAGCAAACAUCUACUGGGGACCGAGAGACACAGACAACCCAGAAAUAGAGAGAUUGCUUAAAGUAGUCCAGUUCGGAACCGGUCAAAACUGAGCAGCGGAAGAUGUUAUCGAAGAUUACUCGACCCUAUAAUCCUUUAAGACUAAACUGGAUGCUGGGAAUUGUUAGGGGGGGGGGUCUAGAGCGUCUAAGCAGUCAACGGGCCUCUGAUGUAAGAGAGGUGGACAUUCUAUAUUCUGAAUUUGAUUUCAGGGACCAAAACGUCAAACUGGGGCGUUCAGAAGGCGUGCCGGAAUCCUUCUGACCCGAGGGAUGCGGUGAGCACACCCGAACUUCAGGUCCUGCAUCUUCAACCACCACUCCUUCGGUCCUAAUCCUAGGAACCUCGAACACCCCUCGCGUCAAGACGGCUCUGUGCGUUUUGUUCCGACUCUUCUUUGUUCACGGGGGCCCGAAGGCCCCGGUGGUCCCCGAUUCGUGCAGCAAGUGAAGAACCCCUCCCCGCCCCCCGAACGGAUCCCGCUCGUCCCCUAAAUUCUACUCCUUUCUGAAUUUUUUGCGACAAAGUAUCGUGCCUAUAUAUACACACCAUAUAUAUAGUCCACUCUUUACAGUACAAAGUGUUAAAAUGUCAAACAAAAAUAAAUAUCCAUGUUACAGUAGCUAGAAUAUUCCAUAAAA